This 443-nucleotide ribosomal RNA is filed under the name uncultured bacterium. Its description in RNAcentral is "bacterial SSU rRNA". It matches the Rfam family "Bacterial small subunit ribosomal RNA", at positions 1 to 430 of the family's 1533-position model. The record is from RNAcentral.
CCCUUAGAGUUUGAUCCUGGCUCAGGAUGAACGCUGGCGGCGUGCCUAACACAUGCAAGUCGAACGAAGCAAUUGAAGGAAGUUUUCGGAUGGAAUUCGAUUGACUGAGUGGCGGACGGGUGAGUAACGCGUGGAUAACCUGCCUCACACUGGGGGAUAACAGUUAGAAAUGACUGCUAAUACCGCAUAAGCGCACAGUACCGCAUGGUACAGUGUGAAAAACUCCGGUGGUGUGAGAUGGAUCCGCGUCUGAUUAGCCAGUUGGCGGGGUAACGGCCCACCAAAGCGACGAUCAGUAGCCGACCUGAGAGGGUGACCGGCCACAUUGGGACUGAGACACGGCCCAAACUCCUACGGGAGGCAGCAGUGGGGAAUAUUGCACAAUGGGCGAAAGCCUGAUGCAGCGACGCCGCGUGAGUGAAGAAGUAUUUCGGUAUGUAAAG